ACCAGUUUCCAGAGGCCAAAGAAAAAGAAACAUCGAGACGGUGAUAAAAGAUUGGCUAAGACCGUCAUGAAAUCGAAUUGUUAGCAAGUAGGAAGGAAGGAGAGAAACGACUGAGGAGGACGAAGACUGCAUCCCAUAAAUGGCUCAUGGACUCAAUCUUUAGAUAAUCUUUAUGUCUUUAAAAUUCAUUAUUAUUUAUAAGUGCAAAGAUCUAAUGUAAUAUUUUUAAAUACAUACAUGUUGGAGUAUAA
Molecule: long non-coding RNA, 251 nt
Organism: Macrosteles quadrilineatus (aster leafhopper)
Lineage: Eukaryota; Metazoa; Arthropoda; Insecta; Hemiptera; Cicadellidae
Exons: 2
Source: RefSeq, a predicted model, not a curated record